RNAcentral lists this ribosomal RNA (138 nucleotides) under uncultured bacterium. RNAcentral's name for it is "partial 16S rRNA". It matches the Rfam family "Bacterial small subunit ribosomal RNA", at positions 355 to 510 of the family's 1533-position model. The record is from RNAcentral.
UAGGGAAUCUUCGGCAAUGGACGAAAGUCUGACCGAGCAACGCCGCGUGAGUGAAGAAGGUCUUCGGAUUGUAAAGCACUUUCGACGGGGACGAUGAUGACGGUACCCGUAGAAGAAGCCCCGGCUAACUUCGUGCCA